AGCCAGAGACGGUGCACCCGUACCGCAAACCGACACAGGUAGUCGAGGAGAGUAUCCUCAGGUGAGCGAGAGAACUCUCGUUAAGGAACUCGGCAAAAUGGCCCCGUAACUUCGGGAGAAGGGGCGCUGGUCGCAAGAUCAGCCGCAGUGAAAAGGCCCAAGCAACUGUUUAUCAAAAACACAGGCAUCUGCAAAAUCGUAAGAUGAAGUAUAGGUGCUGACACCUGCCCGGUGCUGGAAGGUUAAGAGGAGAGCUUAGCGCAAGCGAAGGUUUGAAUUGAAGCCCCAGUAAACGGCGGCCGUAACUAUAACGGUCCUAAGGUAGCGAAAUUCCUUGUCGGGUAAGUUCCGACCUGCACGAAAGGUGUAAUGAUUUGGGCACUGUCUCAACGAGAGACUCGGUGAAAUUAUAAUACCCGUGAAGAUGCGGGUUACCCGCGACAGGACGGAAAGACCCCAUGGAGCUUUACUGCAGU
This 476-nucleotide ribosomal RNA is filed under the name Lactobacillus delbrueckii subsp. bulgaricus. Its description in RNAcentral is "partial 23S ribosomal RNA". It matches the Rfam family "Bacterial large subunit ribosomal RNA", at positions 1625 to 2110 of the family's 2925-position model. Lineage: Bacteria; Bacillati; Bacillota; Bacilli; Lactobacillales; Lactobacillaceae. The record is from RNAcentral.